Molecule: long non-coding RNA, 1877 nt
Organism: Brassica napus (rape)
Lineage: Eukaryota; Viridiplantae; Streptophyta; Magnoliopsida; Brassicales; Brassicaceae
Exons: 2
Source: RefSeq, a predicted model, not a curated record
AUGAACUUAAUAAAUUGACAUAUGCUCUAACAAAAAUAUUAUUCUCGACGCGCGCAUAUAUGUAUUAUGUUGACUUCAUUUAAAAACGUACUUAUUUAUCAAUUGUUGAUAUAUAUUCUCGACUUGACAUCCUCGACUUGACAUUCUCAUAUCAGUCGAGGAACUUACUUUCACCCGUUGAAACCUUGGAAUAUUAAUGCUUCGUGACCUAUAUAUGACGACAAGAAUCUAUAUAUAUAAAAAAUUGUUGGUCUCACUCCUGCUUUGCCACGUGGAAAGUCGAUGUUUGAUAGGCCGACACGUGUCCCUCUCUUCGGGAUACUCUGCGUUUCAUUAAGUAACCAGCGACAUUUAUUGGGCUUAGUUGAGUUUGGUCUUUACGCUUUACUCAAGUGACCGAGCCCAAUAUUGAGUAACCUUUAUCUCCUCUACCGCGUCUGAUCGAAAUUUAGGGUUCUUCUAUUGGUGGAUUCGAUUACGCCGGUCGAGAUUCUUCUUCAUUAGUCGAAAAAAUGCUUCUGUUUCAUCCCAUUUAACCUCUUCUUAACUCGAACAACCACUAUAUAGCCAUCAAUGUGAAGUUCUGUCUUGCGAGUCUGGUUUUCCUCCUCUGAAAACCAUCACCUCAAUCCCUCAAAACCAACCAUUAAAUUUAUUUUCUGAGAACUGGCUAGCGCAUCAAUUUUCCUUUCUGAUUUGAAGACCGGACGAUGCUCCUCCACCGUUGAAUUGCGGUUGAUCCGUUUCUGGGAGGCCAGGAACGUCUUGAGGCGGUGGCGAACUCAGGGGAGUGGAUAAGCUCAUACUGGAUUCACAGGUUGUUAUGUAUCAUAGCUUGCGUUCAUAAUUUUAAUUUUUUUUCCGGCGUGUUAAAUCCGCCUUAUCAAGUUUUUCUAUUUAGAUAUUUGUUUGACGUUUUAUAAAUGAGGAAUAUUUAGUCCGUGCGUUGAUUGUUCUGUCAUAUUUUUUUAAUGUUUCUGUCAUGUUGAAUCCUUAUUACCAAGUUUACUGUUUACAUUUUUGUUUGACAUAUUUUGAAUAAGGCAAUUUAAAACCGUUUGUUGAUUGUUCUGUAUAUUCAUGUGGGUUUGAGGCAACCAUUGCUGCGACUUGCUUGCUUGGAAAGCCUGCAAUGAUAAUCAUGACAUACCAGAAGAUGUAGAUAUACCAUUGUAUAUCGAACCUUCAACUUGAUCACUUUUUGACGGUUGUAACAACUAUAAACGCAAGACGGGUCAAAGCAGAGAUUAUAUGCACACUCAUCAUGAAGUACCCAGAGAAUUGGUUGCCACUAAUCGAAGAUGAUUUGGAAAUAAUACGAGGUUACAGGUCAGGAAACAUUGAGUUGCAGUUCAGUGUUGAACGAGAGAGAACGGAGGAAAGAAGUUUAGGAUGUUAAGAACAAAAGUGAAUCAUAGAAAGCUUAGUAAGUGUGCUUCAUACACAACCUGGAACAGUACCAUGCCAGUUUCUGUUGAGCUAGGCUCGCAUAUUUCGAUGGUGACUAACGGCCAAGCGCAGCAGAGGAUCUUAUAUACCAAAUAAGUCAAUAAGAAGAUGGCACAAAGAGAAAAAAGAAAGUAAUGAUCAAGAAAACAAUUACCAAAAAGUCUCUAAAAGCUUCUGGACAUCUGAUUUAUCUGGGAAUGCUUCUAAGGAUCUGCUGCUAAUGCAUAAAGUAAUUUUUACUUUCUAUAAAAUAAUUUACAAUCUUUUAUGUUCGUUUGUUUUCCUUUUGCGACAACUGAGGACUUUUUUGCUGUCCACUUGCAAACUUCUUGCACAUAUUGUUGUACGGUGAUGGUAUCUUGAAUUGUUGUAUGCAGUCGGUGCAAAUACUGUCAGAUUUGUGAUAAGUGAGAGCUCCUCCUUUCUCU